GUCUACGGCCAUGCCACUCUGAACGUGCCCAAUUUCAUCUGCUCUCGGAAGCUAAGCAGGGUCGGGCCUAGUUAGUACUUGGAUAGGAGACCACCUUGGAAUACCAGGGGCUGUAGGUG
RNAcentral lists this ribosomal RNA (119 nucleotides) under Pteropus alecto (black flying fox). Lineage: Eukaryota; Metazoa; Chordata; Mammalia; Chiroptera; Pteropodidae. The record is from RNAcentral.